This 73-nucleotide transfer RNA is filed under the name Desmophyllum pertusum. RNAcentral describes it as "tRNA-Arg". Lineage: Eukaryota; Metazoa; Cnidaria; Anthozoa; Scleractinia; Caryophylliidae. The record is from RNAcentral.
GACGCGGUGGCCUAAUGGUUAGCGCGCUGGACUCCGGACCAAGCGGUCUGGGUUCAAGCCCUGUGUUGUGUUC